UUUUUAUUUUUCAAAAUUUGAAAUCUUAUCACAAAACCCCACUCCCCAACUCUAAACCCUAAACCCUAAACCCAAAAUCCUAAACCCUAAACCCUAAAUCUUAAACCCCACCCCUUAACUCUAAACCCCACCCCUAAACUCUAAACCAUAAACCCUAAACUCUAAACCCUAAACCCUAAACCCUAAACCCUAAAUACUAAAUCCUAAACCCCACCCCUUAACUCUAAACCCUAAUGUCUAAAUUAAUUUACCAUUAGGGUAUAAGUGUAUAUUUAUCUCUUUUGAUAAAAUAUUAAGUGCUAUUUUGGUCAUUUUUAUUCUUAGAGGCUAUAUUUGUGACAAAAACUUUUUUAGUGCUAUCCUAG
RNAcentral lists this long non-coding RNA (365 nucleotides) under Brassica napus (rape). Its description in RNAcentral is "long non-coding RNA (BNAP_LNC026887)". Lineage: Eukaryota; Viridiplantae; Streptophyta; Magnoliopsida; Brassicales; Brassicaceae. The record is from RNAcentral.